RNAcentral lists this transfer RNA (73 nucleotides) under Actinomycetota bacterium. RNAcentral describes it as "Actinobacteria bacterium tRNA-Pro". It matches the Rfam family "tRNA". From Rfam's summary of the family: Transfer RNA (tRNA) molecules are approximately 80 nucleotides in length. Their secondary structure includes four short double-helical elements and three loops (D, anti-codon, and T loops). Further hydrogen bonds mediate the characteristic L-shaped molecular structure. tRNAs have two regions of fundamental functional importance: the anti-codon, which is responsible for specific mRNA codon recognition, and the 3' end, to which the tRNAs corresponding amino acid is attached (by aminoacyl-tRNA synthetases). tRNAs cope with the degeneracy of the genetic code in two manners: having more than one tRNA (with a specific anti-codon) for a particular amino acid; and 'wobble' base-pairing, i.e. permitting non-standard base-pairing at the 3rd anti-codon position. The record is from RNAcentral. Lineage: Bacteria; Bacillati; Actinomycetota.
CGGAUGGUGGCGCAGUAGGCAGCGCGCCCGUUUCGGGUACGGGAGGUCGCCGGUUCGAGCCCGGCCCGUCCGA